ACUGUGUGAGUGAUAAGUGCUGCUGUGAAGAGAACAACUGUCAGACUGAGUGUUGAACAUCGUCAGUUGCUCCUGUUGACUGAAACCUUGUUGUACAGAUGGAACAUUGUCUGUGGAUUAUUGCUGCUGCUCUGGUCUUUGAGUGUAAAGCACAAGACAGAGUGGUGCAGCCAGCAGGAGAUGUCACUGCUACUGAAGGAGACACACUUAUACUUGGUUGUACAUUUCAGACCAGUGACUCAACUCCCACUCUGUUCUGGUACAAACAAAAAGUCAAUGAUUUCCCAAAGAUGCUCCUGCUACGCUUCUCAACAAGAGAAGAUCGUCCUGCAGAAAAACAGAAGGAGAGAAUUGAUGCUAUUGUCAACAAGACAUCAGUUCCUCUGCAGAUCCAGAAGCUCCAGCUGUCUGACUCUGCUGUGUACUACUGUGCUCUGAGGCCCACAGUGACAGGAAACAACACAACUCUGUACAAAAACCUCUGCAGCAAACAAGUCAAUACUCCACAUGGUCCACUAGAGGGAGUCACACCCUGUCACACCUCAGUGUUUCUCUUCAUCCAGAUUCUUCUUGGUGCAGAUUCACACCAGAGAGAAUGA
Scophthalmus maximus (turbot) is the source of this 599-nucleotide non-coding RNA. The record is from the annotation of a RefSeq genome assembly. Lineage: Eukaryota; Metazoa; Chordata; Actinopteri; Pleuronectiformes; Scophthalmidae.